UACGAAGGGUCCAAGCGUUAUCCGGAUUUAUUGGGUUUAAAGGGUGCGUAGGCGGCUUAUUAAGUCAGUGGUGAAAGCCUGUAGCUUAACUACAGAACUGCCAUUGAUACUGAUGAGCUUGAAUAUACUUGAGGUUGGCGGAAUGUGUCAUGUAGCGGUGAAAUGCUUAGAUAUGACACAGAACACCGAUUGCGAAGGCAGCUAGCUAAAGUACAAUUGACGCUGAUGCACGAAAGCGUGGGGAGCAAACGGG
This 253-nucleotide ribosomal RNA is filed under the name uncultured bacterium. RNAcentral's name for it is "partial 16S ribosomal RNA". It matches the Rfam family "Bacterial small subunit ribosomal RNA", at positions 524 to 776 of the family's 1533-position model. The record is from RNAcentral.